Molecule: unclassified non-coding RNA, 441 nt
Filed under: Hevea brasiliensis (rubber tree)
Lineage: Eukaryota; Viridiplantae; Streptophyta; Magnoliopsida; Malpighiales; Euphorbiaceae
Source: RNAcentral
AUGAGUUAGGAAAAUCGCUGAAUAUGGAACUAGACUAGGAUAGUAAAAUAUGCUAAAAUAUAGUGAGAAUCAGAAAAUAAGGGGCUUGCAGCUAAAGAAGGUGAUUAGAGAAGACAUUGAGUAGCAAAAUUAAAAUGAGUAGCAUGCAAUAAAGAGGGUAGCAAAAUUAAAUAUCAUCUCUUUGGAAGGAAGAACACAAAAAGGAAACAAUGGCUUAUAUAGGAAGAACAAAAAGGCAUCAUUGUUUAUUUCGAUCAUAAAGGAAGAAAAAUAUUUUCAGCUCUUUAAAAGAAGGCUCAAGUUGAAAAUGGUUAUCCUCUUUCACAAAAAUCCCUCUAUAUUUAUAUGUGAAGAACAAUGAAAGGAUUUAAAUGCUUUUCCAACCUCCAGAGCUUUAGGCAUUUUCAUUUUGUUACCGCCAACAAAAUUGCACAGGUACAA